RNAcentral lists this ribosomal RNA (1513 nucleotides) under metagenome. RNAcentral describes it as "bacterial SSU rRNA". It matches the Rfam family "Bacterial small subunit ribosomal RNA". The record is from RNAcentral.
AGAGUUUGAUCCUGGCUCAGAACGAACGCUGGCGGCGUGCCUAACACAUGCAAGUCGAACGAUAAAGUCCCUUCGGGGGCAAUUAAAGUGGCAGACGGGUGAGUAACGCGUAAGUAAUCUACCCCUCGGUCUGGAAUAACAUCUCGAAAGGGGUGCUAAUACCGGAUGACAUCUUCAAUAGAUAACUGUUGAAGAUCAAAGAUGGCCUCUGUAUAUGCUUUUGCCGGGGGAGGAGCUUGCGUCCCAUUAGCUAGUUGGUAGGGUAAAAGCCUACCAAGGCAAUGAUGGGUAGCCGGCCUGAGAGGGUGUCCGGUCACACUGGAACUUAGACACGGUCCAGACUCCUACGGGAGGCAGCAGUGGGGAAUAUUGCGCAAUGGGCGAAAGCCUGACGCAGCAACGCCGCGUGAGCGAUGAAGCUCCUUGGAGUGUAAAGCUCUGUUAGAUGGGAAGAAAGUAAUAAGGAUUAAUACCCCUUACUAUUGACGGUACCAUAAGAGGAAGCCCCGGCCAACUCCGUGCCAGCAGCCGCGGUAACACGGAGGGGGCGAGCGUUGUUCGGAAUUACUGGGCGUAAAGGGCGCGUAGGCGGUCAAGUAAGUCGUGAGUGAAAGCCCCGGGCUCAACCCGAGAAUUGCUCACGAAACUUCUUGACUUGAGUGCAGAAGAGGGAAGUGGAAUUCCCAGUGUAGCGGUGAAAUGCGUAGAUAUUGGGAGGAACACCUGUGGCGAAGGCGACUUCCUAGGCUGCUACUGACGCUCAGGCGCGAAAGCUAGGGGAGCAAACGGGAUUAGAUACCCCGGUAGUCCUAGCCGUAAACGAUGGGCACUAGGUGUAGGGGGGAUUAUCUCCCUGUGCCGAAGCUAACGCAUUAAGUGCCCCGCCUGGGGAGUACGUCCGCAAGGAUGAAACUCAAAGGAAUUGACGGGGGCCCGCACAAGCGGUGGAGCAUGUGGUUUAAUUCGACGCAACGCGAAGAACCUUACCGGGGUUUGACAUUCCUCUGAUAGGUCUCGAAAGAGGCAUUCCUCUUCGGAGGCAGAGGAACAGGUGCUGCAUGGCUGUCGUCAGCUCGUGUCGUGAGAUGUUGGGUUAAGUCCCGCAACGAGCGCAACCCUCGCCCUUAGUUGCCAGCGAUUUGGUCGGGAACUCUAAGGGUACUGCCGGUGACAAACCGGAGGAAGGUGGGGAUGAUGUCAAGUCCUCAUGGCCCUUAAGCCCCGGGCUACACACGUGCUACAAUGGCCGGUACAAAGAGUUGCAAAACCGCGAGGUGGAGCUAAUCUCAAAAAGCCGGUCUCAGUUCGGAUUGAAGUCUGAAACCCGACUUCAUGAAGGCGGAAUCGCUAGUAACCGUGGAUCAGCACGCCACGGUGAAUACGUUCCCGGGCCUUGUACACACCGCCCGUCACACCACGAAAGUUGGUUGUACUAGAAGUCGUUGAGCUAACUUUUCGGAGAGGCAAGCGCCCAAGGUAUGACCAGCGAUUGGGGUGAAGUCGAAACAAGGUA